Molecule: ribosomal RNA, 422 nt
Filed under: uncultured Bacteroidota bacterium
Lineage: Bacteria; Pseudomonadati; Bacteroidota
Description: bacterial SSU rRNA
Rfam family: Bacterial small subunit ribosomal RNA
Source: RNAcentral
UGAGGAAUAUUGGUCAAUGGGCGUAAGCCUGAACCAGCCAUCCCGCGUGCAGGAAGAAGGCGCUAUGCGUCGUAAACUGCUUUUCCAGGGGAAGAAAACCUGAUACGUGUAUCGGCUUGCCGGUACCCUGGGAAUAAGCAUCGGCUAACUCCGUGCCAGCAGCCGCGGUAAUACGGAGGAUGCGAGCGUUAUCCGGAUUUAUUGGGUUUAAAGGGUGCGUAGGCGGAUUAAUAAGUCAGCGGUGAAAACCUUCAGCUUAACUGGAGACUUGCCAUUGAUACUGUUAGUCUUGAGUACGGUCAAGGUAGGCGGAAUGUGUAAUGUAGCGGUGAAAUGCUUAGAUAUUACACAGAACACCGAUUGCGAAGGCAGCUUACUGGGCCAUUACUGACGCUGAUGCACGAAAGCGUGGGGAGCGAACA